Small nucleolar RNA from Fukomys damarensis (Damara mole-rat), 72 nucleotides. The record is from Ensembl. NCBI's taxonomy places the organism in Eukaryota, Metazoa, Chordata, Mammalia, Rodentia, Bathyergidae.
CCUUCGCUGAUGAGCAGCUUCUGACUUUCGUUCUUCUGAGUUUGGUGAAGCCAGAUGCCAUUCCUGAGAAGG